RNAcentral lists this transfer RNA (76 nucleotides) under Alphaproteobacteria bacterium. RNAcentral describes it as "tRNA-Lys". It matches the Rfam family "tRNA". Rfam says of the family: Transfer RNA (tRNA) molecules are approximately 80 nucleotides in length. Their secondary structure includes four short double-helical elements and three loops (D, anti-codon, and T loops). RNAcentral also lists the same sequence under 3 other names. Lineage: Bacteria; Pseudomonadati; Pseudomonadota; Alphaproteobacteria. The record is from RNAcentral.
GGGCGCAUAGCUCAGAUGGUAGAGCAGCUGACUCUUAAUCAGCGGGUCCCAGGUUCGAGUCCUGGUGCGCCCACCA